Molecule: transfer RNA, 69 nt
Filed under: Phrynosoma platyrhinos (Desert horned lizard)
Lineage: Eukaryota; Metazoa; Chordata; Lepidosauria; Squamata; Phrynosomatidae
Description: tRNA-OTHER
Source: RNAcentral
GGUAUGGUAUAGUGGUUUGAGUGUUGGACUGUGACUCUGGAGACCAGGGUUCGAAUCCCAGCUCCACCA